AUCAACUUUCGAUGGUAGGAUAGAGGCCUACCAUGGUGGUAACGGGUAACGGGGUGUUAGGGCACGACACCGGAGAGGGAGCCUGAGAAACGGCUACCACAUCCAAGGAUGGCAGCAGGCGCGCAAAUUACCCAAUCCCGACACGGGGAGGUAGUGACAAUAAAUAACAAUACGGGGUUCUUUAGGAUUUCGUAAUUGGAAUGAGUACAAUUUAAAUCUCUUAACGAGGAACAAUUGGAGGGCAAGUCUGGUGCCAGCAGCCGCGGUAAUUCCAGCUCCAAUAGCGUAUAUUAAAGUUGUUGCAGUUAAAAAGCUCGUAGUUGAAUUUCGGGGUUAGUAGGUUGGUCGUGCCACUGGUACGUACUGGUCUCACUGAUUCCUCCUUCCUGAUGAACUGUAAUGCCAUUAAUUUGGUGUUGCAGGGAAACUGGACUGUUACUUUGAAAAAAUUAGAGUGUUUAAAGCAAGCUAACGCUUGAAUACAUUAGCAUGGAAUAAUGAAAUAGGACGUUCGAUCCUAUUUUGUUGGUUUCUAGGAUUGACGUAAUGAUUAAUAGGGAUAGUUGGGGGCAUUAGUAUUCAAUUGUCAGAGGUGAAAUUCUUGGAUUUAUUGAAGACUAACUACUGCGAAAGCAUUUGCCAAGGAUGUUUUCAUUAAUCAAGAACGAAAGUUAGGGGAUCGAAGACGAUCAGAUACCGUCGUAGUCUUAACCAUAAACUAUGCCGACUAGGGAUCGGAUGAUGUUAAUUUUUUAAUGACUCAUUCGGCGCCUUACGGGAAACCAAAGUGUUUGGGUUC
Molecule: ribosomal RNA, 799 nt
Filed under: uncultured Glomeromycotina
Lineage: Eukaryota; Fungi; Glomeromycota
Description: SSU rRNA
Rfam family: Eukaryotic small subunit ribosomal RNA
Source: RNAcentral